UACGUAGGGGCGCAAGCGUUGUCCGGAAUUAUUGGGCGUAAAGAGCUCGUAGGUGGCGUGUCGCGUCUGCCGUGAAAGCCCAUGGCUUAACUGUGGGUCUGCGGUGGAUACGGGCAGGCUGGAGGCUGGUAGGGGCAAGCGGAAUUCCUGGUGUAGCGGUGAAAUGCGCAGAUAUCAGGAGGAACACCGGUGGCGAAGGCGGCUUGCUGGGCCAGUUCUGACGCUGAGGAGCGAAAGCGUGGGGAGCGAACAGGGA
RNAcentral lists this ribosomal RNA (256 nucleotides) under uncultured bacterium. RNAcentral's name for it is "partial 16S ribosomal RNA". It matches the Rfam family "Bacterial small subunit ribosomal RNA", at positions 524 to 778 of the family's 1533-position model. The record is from RNAcentral.